RNAcentral lists this ribosomal RNA (1475 nucleotides) under metagenome. RNAcentral's name for it is "bacterial LSU rRNA". It matches the Rfam family "Bacterial large subunit ribosomal RNA", at positions 1458 to 2912 of the family's 2925-position model. The record is from RNAcentral.
UAAGCGAUGGGGUGACGCAGGAAGGUAGCUGGGCCAGUCAGUGGUUGUACUGGUGUAAGAGUGUAGGCCGUGACAUAGGCAAAUCCGUGUCACAUUAAGGCUGAGACUUGAUGCAUACCCGUUGUGGGGAAUUCAGUGAUCCUAUGCUGCCGAGAAAAGCCUCUAGUGAGUUCAUACACGGCCCGUACCCCAAACCGACACAGGUGAUCAGGUAGAGAAUACCAAGGCGAUCGAGAGAACUGUGGUUAAGGAACUCGGCAAAAUGCCCCCGUAACUUCGGGAGAAGGGGGACCAUGCCCGGUGAACAUCUUCACGGUGGGAGCUGGGUGUGGUCGCAGAGACCAGAGAGAAGCGACUGUUUACUAAAAACACAGGUCCGUGCGAAGACGUAAGUCGAUGUAUACGGACUGACGCCUGCCCGGUGCUGGAAGGUUAAGAGGACCGGUUAGCCGUAAGGCGAAGCUGAGAAUUUAAGCCCCAGUAAACGGCGGUGGUAACUAUAACCAUCCUAAGGUAGCGAAAUUCCUUGUCGGGUAAGUUCCGACCUGCACGAAUGGCGUAACGACUUCUCUGCUGUCUCGACCACAGACUCGGCGAAAUUGCACUACGAGUAAAGAUGCUCGUUACGCGCGGCAGGACGAAAAGACCCCGGGACCUUUACUAUAGCUUGGUAUUGGCGUUCGAUUCGGUUUGUGUAGGAUAGGUGGGAGACUGUGAAGCAUGCACGCCAGUGUGUGUGGAGUCGUUGUUGAAAUACCACUCUGAUCGUAUUGGACGUCUAACCUCGGCCCAUGAUCUGGGUUAGGGACAGUGCCUGGUGGGUAGUUUAACUGGGGCGGUUGCCUCCUAAAGAGUAACGGAGGCGCCCAAAGGUUCCCUCAGCCUGGAUGGCAAUCAGGUGUUGAGUGCAAGUGCACAAGGGAGCUUGACUGUGAGACUGACACGUCGAGCAGGGACGAAAGUCGGGACUAGUGAUCCGGCACCGGCAAGUGGAAGCGGUGUCGCUCAACGGAUAAAAGGUACCCCGGGGAUAACAGGCUGAUCUUCCCCAAGAGUCCAUAUCGACGGGAUGGUUUGGCACCUCGAUGUCGGCUCGUCGCAUCCUGGGGCUGGAGUAGGUCCCAAGGGUUGGGCUGUUCGCCCAUUAAAGCGGCACGCGAGCUGGGUUUAGAACGUCGUGAGACAGUUCGGUCUCUAUCCGCCGCGCGCGUAAGAAACUUGAGGAAGGCUGUCCCUAGUACGAGAGGACCGGGACGGACGAACCUCUGGUGUGCCAGUUGUUCCACCAGGAGCAUGGCUGGUUAGCUACGUUCGGAAGGGAUAACCGCUGAAAGCAUCUAAGCGGGAAGCCUGUUCCAAGAUGAGGUUUCUCACCACCUUGCGUGGUUAAGGCCCCCUACAGACCAUGGGGUUGAUAGGCCGGAACUGGAAGCGCAGCAAUGCGUGGAGGUGACCGGUACUAAUAAGCCGAGGGC